Molecule: long non-coding RNA, 213 nt
Filed under: Homo sapiens (human)
Lineage: Eukaryota; Metazoa; Chordata; Mammalia; Primates; Hominidae
Description: HSALNT0154451
Source: RNAcentral
GGUCCCUCAGGGAAGCACCAGACUGGUCAAAAUGCACAAGAACAGCUUUUGAAAACAAGGUCUUUGUUGCUGCUUGGCAUCAUCAAAUCACAUCAGGAAUGUGGACCAUCAUUCCCAUGGCUGUCACCUAACUGGUGAAAGGGAAAUGGCUGGAGUGUAAUGGCGCAUCUCGGCUCACCGCAACCUCCUCCUCCCGGGUUCAAGUGAUUCUCC